RNAcentral lists this ribosomal RNA (433 nucleotides) under uncultured bacterium. RNAcentral's name for it is "partial 16S ribosomal RNA". It matches the Rfam family "Bacterial small subunit ribosomal RNA", at positions 29 to 507 of the family's 1533-position model. The record is from RNAcentral.
AACGAACGCUGGCGGCAUGCCUAACACAUGCCAGUCGAACGAGACCUUCGGGUCUAGUGGCGCACGGGUGCGUAACGCGUGGGAACCUGCCCUUAGGUUCGGAAUAACUCCCCGAAAGGGGUGCUAAUACCGGAUAAUGUCUUCGGACCAAAGAUUUAUCGCCUUUGGAUGGGCCCGCGUUGGAUUAGCUAGUUGGUAGGGUAAAAGCCUACCAAGGCGACGAUCCAUAGCUGGUCUGAGAGGAUGAUCAGCCACACUGGGACUGAGACACGGCCCAGACUCCUACGGGAAGCAGCAGUGGGGAAUAUUGGACAAUGGGCGAAAGCCUGAUCCAGCAAUGCCGCGUGAGUGAUGAAGGCCUUAGGGUUGUAAAGCUCUUUUACCCGGGAUGAUAAUGACAGUACCGGGAGAAUAAGCUCCGGCUAACUCCGUG